UACGGAGGGUGCAAGCGUUACUCGGAAUUACUGGGCGUAAAGCGUGUGUAGGUGGCUUCAUAAGUCUGGUGUGAAAUCCCGGGGCUCAACCCCGGAAGUGCAUUGGAUACUGUGAGGCUAGAGUAUGGGAGAGGAGAGUGGAAUUCCAGGUGUAGAGGUGAAAUUCGUAGAUAUCUGGAAGAACACCAGCGGCGAAGGCGGCUCUCUGGACCAUAACUGACACUGAGACACGAAAGCGUGGGGAGCAAACAGG
Molecule: ribosomal RNA, 253 nt
Filed under: uncultured bacterium
Lineage: Bacteria
Description: partial 16S ribosomal RNA
Rfam family: Bacterial small subunit ribosomal RNA
Source: RNAcentral